AGAAAAAGAAGCGUUUUCUAUAGAAUUGUUCCCAAACAGGCCCUUAUACAUUCUCGCCUGUAAUUUAUUUUCCUUUUUGUCUUUUUAUUUUUUAUUUUUUAUUUUUUCGUUAGAAAUAGUGUUUGGUGGUGUGGUGGUUUUGUGAGAAUGGAGAAAAAAAUGGCAGCUGAUGCUGCUAGGGCUUGUGAGACACACACUCAGACACUGCAAUGGAUCUACGCCAUCAUCGAUUUCCUUCGUCCUUACUCUUUCUUAAUGAGCGCUCAUGUCGUCAACUUCUUCCAGGAUAGACAAUGGGAAGCAGUUGACAAGGAAUGGAUUGAGUGCUUACGCAAAGAACCAGUCGAGAAUCUUGUUCAAAUUCCUUCUGGAGUAGUUCAGGAUCACUGGCCUGCUUCGCUUAAGGAAUUUGUUGUUACUUCGAGGUCUUUGGCACUUCCUCGAGAACAAACAGACUUACACAAGGCCUUACCUGGCUUGAACUUGUGUUCACUUAAUAGUGUACUUUCCCAGGGCAUGAAUGUGAAGAAAAAGCAUGAAGUAGAAGUUCUAUCCGCUGUGGUCAGUUUGAUUACAAACAACGUUGGGGCCCACACAGUAAUUGAUGUUGGUGCCGGUCAGGGUUAUCUUGCACAAGUUCUUUCUUUCCACUACCGGCAUCGUGUAAUUGCAAUUGAUGCUUGUUCUCAUCAUGGAAGAGUUACAGAUGCACGUGCUGAACGAAUCAAGAAGUAUUAUGCUGCUCAGAUGCGUAAAUCUGAAUCAGGAAAGAGAAAUUUAAUUAUUCCUAAGACAAUCACGUGCCAUGUUAUUUCUAAGGAGAUGUUGAAAGCCUUGGCUUACACAGCAGUGCAUGAAGAUAAUGUUAUUGAACAAGAACAAAAUUAUGCCAAUUUUGAUGCAAAUCUGGAACAAUCUUCAUGCAAUGCAGACAAUGAAGCUUCAUUGGUUCUUGCUGGGCUUCAUGCUUGUGGAGAUCUUUCAGUAAUGAUGCUCAAGACCUUUCUUGAUUGCAAAGAAGUGAAAGCAGUUAUUAGCAUCGGAUGCUGUUACAACCUAUUAUCUGAAGAAGGUUUUAACGAUGUUAGUUUACAGUGUGGUUUUCCAAUGAGUCUUGGUGUCAAAUCAGCAUCCUUUUCACUUGGGAAAAGUUUGCUUGAUCUUGCAUGCCAGAGUGCAGAGAGGUGGAGAUGCAUGGAAAAUGAUUCUGGUGUGCAUAACUUUUGGUUGCAUGCUUUCCGUGCUGCUUUUCAGAUGUUUCUGACUAGAUUUUAUCCGGAAGUCAUUACAAGAAGUCCAUCAAUUGGCCGUCAAGGGAAGGCUUUGCGUCGCCGACAGCAAAGGGUGACCCUGGACUCCCUGCUGCAUGAAAAGGAAAGAAUUUGCCCGAGGUCCAAUAUGAAUGGAAAUUUCCCUACUGUAAAACCAAAAGUGGAGACAGAUGACAGCCCGAGCUCAGCAUUUGAGACAGCAGCCUUAUCUCAUGAACAUUUUCAUAUUGGUUCCAGAUGUGAAGAGGCCAAACCUGUUGACCGAUAUCCGCUUUUUGAGAAGUAUUGCCAGUCUGGAUUAUGUCAUCUUGGUCUUGAGCCUUUGCAAGAUACAGAUUUUCAGGAAAUAUGGAAUGAAGUUGAGCCUUUUUCUGAACUCAUUGGACCCUAUUGGUCUCUUCGAGCUGCUCUGGGGCCUGUUUUAGAAACUUUAAUUUUGCUUGAUAGAUUGCUGUUCCUCCAAGAGCAAGGCAGUUCAAUUGAAGCAGUGAUCUUGCCAAUUUUUGAUCCUGCUUUAUCCCCUAGAAAUGUGGCUAUUAUUGCUGAAAAGCAUUGACACGGAUGUGAUCGCUGCACAAUAAUGUGUUGCUUUCUUAUGUUAUUUGGACUCAGCAUUGCUUUCUUUUGGACAAUGAAUCCAGCUAUUUUUUGAGAUGCCAAGGGUUCAAUUAAUUAGUUGGGUAGUGACAUUCCCAUUGAAUUUUCAGAUUAAUGUGGACGAUUUUUGGAGAAGACAUGAAAAGUAGCCAUCAUUCAAAAGAGGAUUUAUUCAGUUUUGGAUAUGCACCAUCACUCUCAUGACUUGUUGAAAGGUAUAUUCCAAGCUAUUAAUUUUUUCCUUGUAAAAUGACAUCACUGGUCAAUAGAUGCUGCUCUCAUCACUAUCAGACUUAUUUCUAUAUACAGUCUUGUGAAAUUAUUUGCUUUUUCUCUUUAAUUUACCUAAAAAAAAAAAAAACGCAAUAACUUUUCAAAGCUAUUUGAAAUGCUUGCUUUACCUCUAAAGAUUUUCUUUCUUUAUGGAAAAGUUUGUACGGGGUUUUCAAUUAUUGGAGGUCCUAAAGAAGUUAGGUGGUGUUGAUGUCCUGAAAAACACUAGGACUGGUCAGUUUUAAUAAAGAAAAAAAGGCUCAGUUGUAUGGCAUUAAUAGAAAUAUAUAUAUAAGAUGGUGUUAAUUCAAGUUAUGUGUAUUUAUUUAUUUUUGUGUACAGCAGAUAGUAUUAUGUUUGUGCCUUUGGCCAGAAAUCAAAUUGUUUGGUAUGGAACAAAUUUGAAAUUCUGACUUUUGGAAUGUGCUAGAAACAAUCUUCCUUGUGAAAGUGUCCCUCUUUACCUAUGACGAAACCCUUAAAAUCUAUUUCAUACCCGGUCUUGAGUUUCAAUUAUGCACCCUUCGUAAUUAGGAUUGAAUCAAGAUUAAUUUUGAUGUUGCUGUCAUAUAUCAUUUUAGGGCUGUUUGAGAUUAUGGAGUACAUUGGAUUGGAUUGGCCCAGUUUAACGGUCCAAUCUAGUGUAGUCUUAAAUCCCAAACGGACCCUUUUAGUAUUUAUAGGAGGAACUACAAUGGAGAAAUCUUGGCAAUCGAAGCUGAAAUUUUUAAGGUGUCAAAUCAAGGGCAGCCAAAGUGUUUUCAAAUUUGUGUUGCAGGUUUGAGGGGACUCUUUUUAUGGUUAUUUUAGUUUUUAUCUAAUCCCUCUAUGGCUUCUCUUGGUAUGCAUUGUAAACAUUGUUGACACAGAGAUAUCUCUUGCUCAGUUAGCAGAGAAGAAAACCUUCUUCUAUGUGAGGUGAGGCAUACCAAAGAGCGGAACCUAGAUAGAACGCAAAAAAGAAAAAAGUAGCUCUUUGCUCAAUGGGAGUAUUGAUAUGCUCUGCUUUUUCCCCAUAGGUCUUAGUAACUUUACAACUCAAAAUGUUGCAAAAUAGACAUCUUUUUUGUUUUGUACAUUUCCACAAGCUUCUUUUAUA
Molecule: RNA transcript, 3240 nt
Organism: Ziziphus jujuba (common jujube)
Lineage: Eukaryota; Viridiplantae; Streptophyta; Magnoliopsida; Rosales; Rhamnaceae
Exons: 14
Source: RefSeq, a predicted model, not a curated record